AUUGAACGCUGGCGGCAUGCCUUACACAUGCAAGUCGAACGGUAACAGGUCUUCGGAUGCUGACGAGUGGCGAACGGGUGAGUAAUACAUCGGAACGUGCCCAGACGUGGGGGAUAACGAGGCGAAAGCUUUGCUAAUACCGCAUACGAUCUAAGGAUGAAAGCAGGGGACCGCAAGGCCUUGCGCGGUUGGAGCGGCCGAUGGCAGAUUAGGUAGUUGGUGGGAUAAAAGCUUACCAAGCCGACGAGCUGUAGCUGGUCUGAGAGGACGACCAGCCACAUUGGGACUGAGACACGGCCCAGACUCCUACGGGAGGCAGCAGUGGGGAAUGUUGGACAAUGGGCGAAAGCCUGAUCCAGCAAUGCCGCGUGCAGGAUGAAGGCCUUCGGGUUGUAAACUGCUUUUGUACGGAACGAAAAGGCUCUGGCUAAUACCUGGGGCACAUGACGGUACCGGAAGAAUAAGCACCGGCUAACUACGUG
This 482-nucleotide ribosomal RNA is filed under the name uncultured bacterium. RNAcentral's name for it is "partial 16S ribosomal RNA". It matches the Rfam family "Bacterial small subunit ribosomal RNA", at positions 30 to 507 of the family's 1533-position model. The record is from RNAcentral.